AUGGUGAGCUGGGGAGGACAUCGCAGACCAGGCUGGGAGUCCUCCGAGAGCCUCAGGACGUUGUCUCCAGGGUGGUGUGUGACUUACCUCAAGGCCGAUGGAGACGCACCGGGGCGUGAAGUGACACAGUCGGGCUCUCCAGUCCGACCUUUCCCUUCUGUGGUCGGUAGCAGAGAGAGAGGCCCAGAGAGCAGAAAUAAAUCGCUGGAGGUCACACAACUGGCAACAGCAGCUGGCCACCCCAGGGGCACCACGCCAUCAGGGCCCGGAGCUCUCUCACAGGACACAAGGUCCAGCUGA
This 300-nucleotide long non-coding RNA is filed under the name Fukomys damarensis (Damara mole-rat). RNAcentral's name for it is "lncRNA (ENSFDAG00000025966.1)". The record is from RNAcentral. Lineage: Eukaryota; Metazoa; Chordata; Mammalia; Rodentia; Bathyergidae.